GAUGAAGAACGUAGCGAAAUGCGAUAAGUAGUGUGAAUUGCAGAAUUCAGUGAAUCAUCGAAUCUUUGAACGCACAUUGCGCCCCUUGGUAUCCCGAGGGGCAUGCCUGUUCGAGCGUCAUUUCACCACUCAAGCCUGGCUUGGUGUUGGGCGACGUCCUCUUUGGGGACGCGCCUCGAAACGCUCGGCGGCGUGGCACCGGUUUUAAGCGUAGCAGAAUCUUUCGCUUUGGAAGUCGGGGCCCCGUCUGCCGGAAGACCUGCUCGCAAGGUUGACCUCGGAUCAGGCAGGGAUACCCGCUGAACUUAAGCAUAUCAAUAAGCGGAGGA
Molecule: unclassified non-coding RNA, 329 nt
Filed under: soil metagenome
Description: partial contains 5.8S ribosomal RNA, internal transcribed spacer 2, and large subunit ribosomal RNA
Rfam family: 5.8S ribosomal RNA (bases 1-120)
Source: RNAcentral